GCGAAAGUGGUGAAAUGGCAGACACGCAAGUCUUAGGAACUUGUCCCGUAAGGGGUGGGGGUUCGAGUCCCCCCUUUCGCA
RNAcentral lists this transfer RNA (81 nucleotides) under Pyrinomonadaceae bacterium. RNAcentral describes it as "tRNA-Leu". It matches the Rfam family "tRNA". From Rfam's summary of the family: Transfer RNA (tRNA) molecules are approximately 80 nucleotides in length. Their secondary structure includes four short double-helical elements and three loops (D, anti-codon, and T loops). The record is from RNAcentral. Lineage: Bacteria; Pseudomonadati; Acidobacteriota; Blastocatellia; Blastocatellales; Pyrinomonadaceae.